GGUAAGUCGUGGCGGCGGGCCGUGUUAGUGCGAGGGGGGCGGGCGGUAACAGGCAUUACUGGGCGGAAGGGGUGGUCAGGCGGUUAUGUAAGACAGAUGUGAAAUCCCCGGGCUCAACCUGGGAACUGCAGUUGGGACUGCAUGGCUAGAGUACGGUAGAGGGGGAUGGAAUUCCGCGUGUAGCAGUGAAAUGCGUAGAUAUGCGGAGGAACACCGAUGGCGAAGGCAAUCCCCUGGACCUGUACUGACGCUCAUGCACGAAAGCGUGGGGAGCAAACAGGAUUAGAUACUCUGUUAGUC
Molecule: ribosomal RNA, 300 nt
Filed under: uncultured Methanobrevibacter sp.
Lineage: Archaea; Methanobacteriati; Methanobacteriota; Methanobacteria; Methanobacteriales; Methanobacteriaceae
Description: bacterial SSU rRNA
Rfam family: Bacterial small subunit ribosomal RNA
Source: RNAcentral